AGAUAUCCUGUUUGAUGAGAUGGCAUAAAAGUAAGCAUGACUGAAAAAACCUACCUGCUAGGCUCCUUGCAUCUCUUAUUUUCUUCCUGUUGUUGCAUUGCAUUUGUGGGUUUUAUUCUGUAUUUUAGGCUUUGGGGAAAUGCCCUGAGGUCUGGGAUAGCCAGGGGUGGUGGGACCAGCAGCUGGAUGAACACAGGUGCCUGCGAGCUGGUGAGAUCAGCAAAAUCUCAGAUUCAGAUCCUUGCACUCCCGAUGCUCCACCUGCUGCCACUUCACCACCAACUUCUGAAGAGCCUGGACCUUUCACAGCUCCAGCAUCACCCUCCUGUUCCUCUGACACCGGCACUGCAUCAUUUUCACCACCGUUACCCGCGUGUGUUGCAGCCUUACAUCCAAAACCUCCUCCUAUUUCACCAUCCACUUCUGCUGCCACUGUUCACUCUGGACUUCCUUCUCUCCCUGCCCCGCCUGCCUCUACUCCAUCCCUGCACCCUGGGAUUUAUCUGCCCGUUGUCCCACCCAGUGGUGCCACCCACCUCAUCAACUGGCUGCCCUUCCUCGCCUCAGCCACGCUUGCCACCAUCCAAGGCAAGGAGGAAGACCAGCCACCCAUAAGCACAGGCUCCCUGGAAGGCAUGAAGCCCUGCAGCAGCCCAGCCCCACACCCUUCCCAAGAGGAGAAUCCCCAGGCAGCAGCUCUGGGAAGCAGCGCUCCGGGGGCUGCGUCCCCACCACCAGCGGUGCCCGCGGGCUCCGAGGCGUCCGCGAACGUCAGCGACAUCCUGGCGGAGCUGCGGACCAUGAACAGCCACCUCUCCACCAUUGCCCGAGCCCUCACCCAGCUGGCAUCGUCCCUGGCACCCCAGCAGGAUGCUGGUGGCACCCCACCUCCUUAGUGCCAGGUUUCACAGGGAGUGGUGCUGCCCAGAGGAAAGGGACCCUCCCCAAACCUGCCCACGCCACUGGAGCAAGCUCGCUGCAGUCGCAGACGCCGACCACGUCUCCCCAGUGGGUUUUUCCUGUCAGUUUGUUUGUUUGCCCCUUGUAAAUGGCUGCAUAUAUUAAAAAAUAGUUUUGUGGUCUUGUUAAUAAAAUUGUUUAUGUUUCUGGCGUUCCUUUUGGA
Molecule: long non-coding RNA, 1123 nt
Filed under: Junco hyemalis (dark-eyed junco)
Lineage: Eukaryota; Metazoa; Chordata; Aves; Passeriformes; Passerellidae
Description: lncRNA (ENSJHYG00000005080.1)
Source: RNAcentral